This 791-nucleotide ribosomal RNA is filed under the name uncultured bacterium. RNAcentral's name for it is "bacterial SSU rRNA". It matches the Rfam family "Bacterial small subunit ribosomal RNA", at positions 8 to 796 of the family's 1533-position model. The record is from RNAcentral.
AGAGUUUGAUCAUGGCUCAGAUUGAACGCUGGCGGCAUGCCUUACACAUGCAAGUCGAACGGCAGCACGGGAGCAAUCCUGGUGGCGAGUGGCGAACGGGUGAGUAAUACAUCGGAACGUGCCCAGUAGUGGGGGAUAACCCGGCGAAAGCCGGACUAAUACCGCAUACGACCUACGGGUGAAAGCAGGGGAUCGCAAGACCUUGCGCUAUCGGAGCGGCCGAUGUCAGAUUAGCUUGUUGGUGGGGUAAAAGCCCACCAAGGCGACGAUCUGUAGCUGGUCUGAGAGGACGACCAGCCACACUGGGACUGAGACACGGCCCAGACUCCUACGGGAGGCAGCAGUGGGGAAUUUUGGACAAUGGGCGCAAGCCUGAUCCAGCCAUGCCGCGUGCGGGAAGAAGGCCUUCGGGUUGUAAACCGCUUUUGUCAGGGAAGAAACGCUCCGGAUUAAUACCUCGGAGUAAUGACGGUACCUGAAGAAUAAGCACCGGCUAACUACGUGCCAGCAGCCGCGGUAAUACGUAGGGUGCAAGCGUUAAUCGGAAUUACUGGGCGUAAAGCGUGCGCAGGCGGCUUUGCAAGACAGAUGUGAAAUCCCCGGGCUUAACCUGGGAACUGCAUUUGUGACUGCAUGGCUGGAGUGCGGCAGAGGGGGAUGGAAUUCCGCGUAGCAGUGAAAUGCGUAGAUAUGCGGAGGAACACCGAUGGCGAAGGCAAUCCCCUGGGCCUGCACUGACGCUCAUGCACGAAAGCGUGGGGAGCAAACAGGAUUAGAUACCCUAGUAGUCC